Non-coding RNA from Danio rerio (zebrafish), 405 nucleotides. The record is from RefSeq and is a predicted model, not a curated record. NCBI's taxonomy places the organism in Eukaryota, Metazoa, Chordata, Actinopteri, Cypriniformes, Danionidae.
AAGGCCUGUUUAUUCUCGCGAUACAGCGAGGUGCAACGUGACAUCACACACAAUUAGCCUAUGCAUAAAUUAACUCGCGAUAAUUAAUGUUGUUGAUGCCUUGAUGUUCACACAGUUUAAUAUCCACUCAGCUGCGUACACCAACGCACGUCCCCUAGAUGGAGGCGUAGAUCAUUGUGGGAUCAUUGGAUUGGCCCUUUGGGAAUAACUGGACAAACCACUUGAACCCAGCACAUCACCUCUGACCCCUGUGUCAUCUGUGGCUGGUCCUCAAGAGACCAGUGUUGACAUCAACUUCAAAUAUGACACUGAAGAGCAUCAAUGAGGUCCACUUUUCCGACUGCUGGAAUGCAAACUGAUUAAUAUUUAUGUAAAGAAAUAAAAAAUGUUUAAGAUUAAAUGAUA